Molecule: ribosomal RNA, 1526 nt
Filed under: Gemmataceae bacterium
Lineage: Bacteria; Pseudomonadati; Planctomycetota; Planctomycetia; Gemmatales; Gemmataceae
Description: bacterial SSU rRNA
Rfam family: Bacterial small subunit ribosomal RNA
Source: RNAcentral
UUGAAGGGUUUGAUCCUGGCUCAGAAUGAACGUUGGCGGCGUGGAUUAGGCAUGCAAGUCGAACGAGUCCCUGGGGGGUAACUUUCAGGGAUAAGUGGCGAAUGGGGCAGUAAUGCAUGGGUAACCUACCUCGAGGUCUGGGAUAGCCACUCUAACGGGUGGGUAACACUGGACGACCUAGGAUUCCGGCAUCGGAGACCUAGUAAAGGUAACGCCUCGAGAGGGGCCCAUGUGAUAUUAGCUAGUUGGUGAGGUAACGGCUCACCAAGGCGAAGAUGUCUAGCGGGUGUGAGAGCACGACCCGCGUCACUGGCACUGAGACACUGGCCAGACUCCUACGGGAGGCUGCAGUCGAGAAUCUUCGGCAAUGGACGCAAGUCUGACCGAGCGACGCCGCGUGCGCGAUGAAGGCCUUCGGGUUGUAAAGCGCUGUCGAGGGGGAGAAAAACUGAUCGACCCCUGGAGGAAGGACGGGCUAAGUUCGUGCCAGCAGCCGCGGUAAGACGAACCGUCCAAACGUUAUUCGGAAUCACUGGGCUUAAAGGGCGCGUAGGCGGGUGGUCAAGUCAGGGGUGAAAUCCUCCAGCUCAACUGGAGAAGUGCCUUUGAUACUGGCUGUCUAGAGUGAGGUAGGGGCAUAUGGAACUUCCGGUGGAGCGGUGAAAUGCGUAGAUAUCGGAAGGAACGCCAGUGGCGAAAGCGAUAUGCUGGACCUUUUCUGACGCUGAGGCGCGAAAGCUAGGGGAUCAAACGGGAUUAGAUACCCCGGUAGUCCUAGCCCUAAACGAUGGGUACUAGAUUGUGGACUUUACAUGGGUUCACAGUCGAAGCAAAAGUUUUAAGUACCCCGCCUGGGGAGUAUGGUCGCAAGGCUGAAACUCAAAGGAAUUGACGGGGGCUCACACAAGCGGUGGAGCAUGUGGCUUAAUUCGAGGCUACGCGAAGAACCUUAUCCUGGAUUUGACAUGUGCGAAAGCGGUAGGAAGUAGUUGCCGGAAACGGCCAACGAACGGUAUCCAGUCCGGAACCUACUACAGGUGCUGCAUGGCUGUCGUCAGCUCGUGUCGUGAGAUGUCUGGUUAAGUCCGAUAACGAGCGCAACCCUUGUCUUCAGUUGCCAGCGGGUCAUGCCGGGAACUCUGAAGAGACUGCCGGUGUCAAACCGGAGGAAGGUGGGGAUGACGUCAAGUCCUCAUGGCCUUUAUAUCCAGGGCUGCACACGUGCUACAAUGGCGCGCACAAAGGGAAGCAAUCUCGCAAGAAGGAGCAAAUCCCAAAAAACGCGCCCCAGUUCAGAUUGAAGGCUGCAACUCGCCUUCAUGAAGUUGGAAUCGCUAGUAAUCGCGGGUCAGCAACACCGCGGUGAAUGUGUUCCUGAGCCUUGUACACACCGCCCGUCAAGCCACGAAAGGGAGAGGCAUCCGAAGUCGCCACACUAAGAUGGCGCCGAAGAUGAAAUUCCUGAUUGGGACUAAGUCGUAACAAGGUAACCGUAGGGGAACCUGCGGUUGGAUCACCUCCUUUCU